GUAGUCGUGGCCGAGUGGUUAAGGCGACAGACUCGAAAUCUGUUGGGAUAUUCCCCCGCAGGUUCAAAUCCUGCCGACUACG
RNAcentral lists this transfer RNA (82 nucleotides) under Dendronephthya gigantea. Its description in RNAcentral is "tRNA-Ser". It matches the Rfam family "tRNA". Rfam says of the family: Transfer RNA (tRNA) molecules are approximately 80 nucleotides in length. Their secondary structure includes four short double-helical elements and three loops (D, anti-codon, and T loops). Lineage: Eukaryota; Metazoa; Cnidaria; Anthozoa; Malacalcyonacea; Nephtheidae. The record is from RNAcentral.